Molecule: ribosomal RNA, 420 nt
Filed under: Triticum aestivum (bread wheat)
Lineage: Eukaryota; Viridiplantae; Streptophyta; Magnoliopsida; Poales; Poaceae
Description: partial small subunit ribosomal RNA
Source: RNAcentral
AUGGACGAAGUUACUGAUGAAGCAAUUGGUGCAAAGCUCAAUAUUUUAUAUACACAGAAAAGGGCAGUUUCUUCAGAACUUGCCACUGCUCAUGCAUGUGAAAAGAACAUAGCUGAUAAAAACAAGUCUCUUAAGCACAAGGAUCGAAUGCAUCCUUACAUUAGCAGAUUCCCGUCGUUGCAUUUCUAUGAAAACAAACUGCUGGAUGGUGCUCAGAAGGCUGAGAAAUCAGAUCCUUUCCAUGAUCACCGUUGUCUUGGUCCAUACAUGUUCUUUGAUAUUGCCGAUGGUCGUGAGCAUGCUAGAACAAGUGCUGCUGCACAAUCACUCUCUAAUCAAUUUGAAGCUGGUGCAGCACUUGAAAUACUGUCAUUUUUAAAUAACAAGUGUGAGCUUGAGGAAGAAGGAGACGGCAAGUGA